GCAGCACGAGCGACAAGAUGGGCAUGCUGAUUCACUGUCUUUCUAACAAAUCGUAAGUGGGAUGACAACCGGUAGCACAGGUGUACUCUUUUAUCUGCCACUUCAUCCGAUCAUUUCCUUUGUUUUCUCCGUCACCAAUGUGUCUCUCUCCGCCAUCACAACCACCUUAUGCCUCCGCUCCUUUCUGUCUCUAGAAAAGCUUAAAUAUCCACGCACUCUCCCUGUACUAAGAGCCCAACCCGCCGCAAUGACGCGACCCGUUUCAUUUCUCCGAUUUCUCUCUCUCCUCUCCCUCUUGCUUCUCACCCUCUCUCGCUCUUAUGUUACUGCCGAUUCCCACUUCGAAGGUUUUGAAGCCGAAGAAGACGACGUCGUGGAGGAAACCAUAGAUCCUCACUCGUUCAAACUCACCGAUCUUCCAUUAACUCGGUCCGAUACACCUCCCACUUCAGUUUCUAAUCCUAUAUCAGAAAAUUCUGAACUCAACGUUAAUUCCAAUUCGGAUUCUCAAUCCUUGAAACUCGAAUCGGAUCAAUCAAAACCCUCUUCUCCACCAUCGACAACUACCUUUGAUGACUGGGACGAAGAUGAAUUUGAAGGUAUACCUGUUCAUCAACCUCCAGUGGAGACGCCCAAAACUGCUGAAUCUAACCAAAGUUCAGAUUCAAAACCAAAGACGGUUUUCAAGAAACAGCAAUCAUACACGGUGGAGAUUGUGUGCGUAUCUUUCUUGAUCAUGUUCAUUAUCAAUUA
This 753-nucleotide unclassified non-coding RNA is filed under the name Hevea brasiliensis (rubber tree). Lineage: Eukaryota; Viridiplantae; Streptophyta; Magnoliopsida; Malpighiales; Euphorbiaceae. The record is from RNAcentral.